RNAcentral lists this ribosomal RNA (491 nucleotides) under uncultured bacterium. RNAcentral describes it as "partial 16S ribosomal RNA". It matches the Rfam family "Bacterial small subunit ribosomal RNA", at positions 29 to 507 of the family's 1533-position model. The record is from RNAcentral.
AGUGAACGCUGGCGGUAGGCCUAACACAUGCAAGUCGAACGGCAGCACAGUAAGAGCUUGCUCUUACGGGUGGCGAGUGGCGGACGGGUGAGGAAUACAUCGGAAUCUACUUUUUCGUGGGGAUAACGUAGGGAAACUUACGCUAAUACCGCAUACGACCUACGGGUGAAAGCAGGGGAUCUUCGGACCUUGCGCGAUUGAAUGAGCCGAUGUCGGAUUAGCUAGUUGGCGGGGUAAAGGCCUACCAAGGCGACGAUCCGUAGCUGGUCUGAGAGGAUGAUCAGCCACACUGGAACUGAGACACGGUCCAGACUCCUACGGGAGGCAGCAGUGGGGAAUAUUGGACAAUGGGCGCAAGCCUGAUCCAGCCAUACCGCGUGGGUGAAGAAGGCCUUCGGGUUGUAAAGCCCUUUUGUUGGGAAAGAAAAGCAGCAGGUUAAUACCCCGCUGUUCUGACGGUACCCAAAGAAUAAGCACCGGCUAACUUCGUG